AGACCCGAAACCCGGUGAUCUAGCCAUGGGCAGGUUGAAGGUUGGGUAACACUAACUGGAGGACCGAACCGACUAAUGUUGAAAAAUUAGCGGAUGACCUGUGGCUGGGGGUGAAAGGCCAAUCAAACCGGGAGAUAGCUGGUUCUCCCCGAAAGCUAUUUAGGUAGCGCCUCGUGAAUUCAUCUCCGGGGGUAGAGCACUGUUUCGGCUAGGGGGCCAUCCCGGCUUACCAACCCGAUGCAAACUGCGAAUACCGGAGAAUGUUAUCACGGGAGACACACGGCGGGUGCUAACGUCCGUCGUGAAGAGGGAAACAACCCAGACCGCCAGCUAAGGUCCCAAAGUCAUGGUUAAGUGGGAAACGAUGUGGGAAGGCCCAGACAGCCAGGAUGUUGGCUUAGAAGCAGCCAUCAUUUAAAGAAAGCGUAAUAGCUCACUGGUCGAGUCGGCCUGCGCGGAAGAUGUAACGGGGCUAAACCAUGCACCGAAGCUGCGGCAGCGAACGUAUCACCCAAGACAACUUUACGGAGUUGACGAUUGACGGAGCGAAGCGACGUCAAAGCGUUCAUUAAAGUCGAGUUGGCUUAGGGAUACGUUCGUUGGGUAGGGGAGCGUUCUGUAAGCCUGUGAAGGUGUGUCGUGAGGCAUGCUGGAGGUAUCAGAAGUGCGAAUGCUGACAUAAGUAACGAUAAAGCGGGUGAAAAGCCCGCUCGCCGGAAGACCAAGGGUUCCUGUCCAACGUUAAUCGGGGCAGGGUGAGUCGACCCCUAAGGCGAGGCCGAAAGGCGUAGUCGAUGGGAAACGGGUUAAUAUUCCCGUACUUGGUGUUACUGCGAAGGGGGGACGGAGAAGGCUAUGUUGGCCGGGCGACGGUUGUCCCGGUUUAAGCGUGUAGGUGUGUGUUCCAGGUAAAUCCGGUUCACUUUAACACUGAGGCGUGACGACGAGGCACUACGGUGCUGAAGCAACAAAUGCCCUGCUUCCAGGAAAAGCCUCUAAGCAUCAGGUAACAUCAAAUCGUACCCCAAACCGACACAGGUGGUCAGGUAGAGAAUACCAAGGCGCUUGAGAGAACUCGGGUGAAGGAACUAGGCAAAAUGGUGCCGUAACUUCGGGAGAAGGCACGCUGACACGUAGGUGAAGUGAUUUACUCAUGGAGCUGAAGUCAGUCGAAGAUACCAGCUGGCUGCAACUGUUUAUUAAAAACACAGCACUGUGCAAACACGAAAGUGGACGUAUACGGUGUGACGCCUGCCCGGUGCCGGAAGGUUAAUUGAUGGGGUCAGCGCAAGCGAAGCUCCUGAUCGAAGCCCCGGUAAACGGCGGCCGUAACUAUAACGGUCCUAAGGUAGCGAAAUUCCUUGUCGGGUAAGUUCCGACCUGCACGAAUGGCGUAAUGAUGGCCAGGCUGUCUCCACCCGAGACUCAGUGAAAUUGAACUCGCUGUGAAGAUGCAGUGUACCCGCGGCAAGACGGAAAGACCCCGUGAACCUUUACUAUAGCUUGACACUGAACAUUGAGCCUUGAUGUGUAGGAUAGGUGGGAGGCUUUGAAGUGUGGACGCCAGUCUGCAUGGAGCCGACCUUGAAAUACCACCCUUUAAUGUUUGAUGUUCUAACGUGGACCCGUAAUCCGGGUUGCGGACAGUGUCUGGUGGGUAGUUUGACUGGGGCGGUCUCCUCCUAAAGAGUAACGGAGGAGCACGAAGGUUGGCUAAUCCUGGUCGGACAUCAGGAGGUUAGUGCAAUGGCAUAAGCCAGCUUGACUGCGAGCGUGACGGCGCGAGCAGGUGCGAAAGCAGGUCAUAGUGAUCCGGUGGUUCUGAAUGGAAGGGCCAUCGCUCAACGGAUAAAAGGUACUCCGGGGAUAACAGGCUGAUACCGCCCAAGAGUUCAUAUCGACGGCGGUGUUUGGCACCUCGAUGUCGGCUCAUCACAUCCUGGGGCUGAAGUAGGUCCCAAGGGUAUGGCUGUUCGCCAUUUAAAGUGGUACGCGAGCUGGGUUUAGAACGUCGUGAGACAGUUCGGUCCCUAUCUGCCGUGGGCGCUGGAGAACUGAGGGGGGCUGCUCCUAGUACGAGAGGACCGGAGUGGACGCAUCACUGGUGUUCGGGUUGUCAUGCCAAUGGCACUGCCCGGUAGCUAAAUGCGGAAGAGAUAAGUGCUGAAAGCAUCUAAGCACGAAACUUGCCCCGA
Molecule: ribosomal RNA, 2195 nt
Filed under: Salmonella enterica
Lineage: Bacteria; Pseudomonadati; Pseudomonadota; Gammaproteobacteria; Enterobacterales; Enterobacteriaceae
Also listed under: 4 other names
Description: bacterial LSU rRNA
Rfam family: Bacterial large subunit ribosomal RNA
Source: RNAcentral